This 636-nucleotide ribosomal RNA is filed under the name Platycodon grandiflorus (balloon flower). RNAcentral's name for it is "eukaryotic LSU rRNA". The stretch from base 198 to 353 matches the Rfam family "5.8S ribosomal RNA". Lineage: Eukaryota; Viridiplantae; Streptophyta; Magnoliopsida; Asterales; Campanulaceae. The record is from RNAcentral.
CCUCCCUCCCUCCCCCUCUUGUCGGCGCACGCCUCCUCCGGACUCGUCCGGGGGGCGUGUGCGCCGGCGCAAAACGAACCCCGGCGCGAUCCGCGCCAAGGAAAACAUAACUCUAGAAGAGCGCCCCGUCCUCCCGUCGCCCCGUCCGCGGUGCGCGUGCGGCUGGGCGGUGGCCGCUCCUCGGUGAAAACACAAACGACUCUCGGCAACGGAUAUCUCGGCUCUCGCAUCGAUGAAGAACGUAGCGAAAUGCGAUACUUGGUGUGAAUUGCAGAAUCCCGUGAACCAUCGAGUCUUUGAACGCAAGUUGCGCCCGAAGCCAUUAGGCCGAGGGCACGUCUGCAUGGGCGUCACGCAUCGCGUCGCCCCCCCAAACAAACAAACAAACAAACCAAACGUUUGUCGGUUGUUCAGGGGGAGCGGAUACUGGCCUCCCGUGCCUCGCGGCGCGGCUGGCUCAAAACGGAGUCCCCCGCGAAGGACGCACGGCAAGUGGUGGUUGAUAACAAGGCCCUCGCGUCCCGUCGUGCGCAWGUCCUGAGCGAUGGUGCAGGCUCUCGUGACCCUGACGCGUCUCCGUUCGUCCACAGCGACGAGCGACGGCGCUCCGACCGCGACCCCAUGUCAGGCGGGACU